Molecule: transfer RNA, 54 nt
Filed under: Ptychadena sp. JPB-6253
Lineage: Eukaryota; Metazoa; Chordata; Amphibia; Anura; Ptychadenidae
Description: tRNA-Val
Source: RNAcentral
CUAAAGCCCCUCGCUUACACCGAGCACAUGCCUGUUGGACCCAGGCCGUUUUGA